AUGAACGCUGGCGGCGUGCCUCAUACAUGCCAGUCGCGCGAACAGACGAGGAGCUUGCUCCUCUGACGUUAGCGGCGGACGGGUGAGUAACACGUGGAUAACCUACCUAUAAGACUGGGAUAACUUCGGGAAACCGGAGCUAAUACCGGAUAAUAUAUUGAACCGCAUGGUUCAAUAGUGAAAGACGGUUUUGCUGUCACUUAUAGAUGGAUCCGCGCCGCAUUAGCUAGUUGGUAAGGUAACGGCUUACCAAGGCAACGAUGCGUAGCCGACCUGAGAGGGUGAUCGGCCACACUGGAACUGAGACACGGUCCAGACUCCUACGGGAGGCAGCAGUAGGGAAUCUUCCGCAAUGGGCGAAAGCCUGACGGAGCAACGCCGCGUGAGUGAUGAAGGUCUUCGGAUCGUAAAACUCUGUUAUUAGGGAAGAACAAAUGAGUAAGUAACUAUGCACGUCUUGACGGUACCUAAUCAGAAAGCCACGGCUAACUACGUG
RNAcentral lists this ribosomal RNA (496 nucleotides) under uncultured bacterium. Its description in RNAcentral is "partial 16S ribosomal RNA". It matches the Rfam family "Bacterial small subunit ribosomal RNA", at positions 29 to 507 of the family's 1533-position model. The record is from RNAcentral.